AAGAGCACAAGAAUUUCUAGCCAGAAAAAGGAUGAAGAGCUUGUCGCAACAAAACAAAAAGAAUAAUCACUAGUUAUAGAGUAUUUAUUUUACGAAACUACUACAUCCAUGAAUUCAUUUGGACAGCUUCCAAUGAUCUAUCUUCUCUAGUGUACAUUUACCUUCCUGAAAAGUUUCAAUUCCUUUUAUAAUCGUCCAAACAUGGCGUAUAAUUGCUCUCGUAAAUCUUGCCACAAGCUCUCUUUUGAGCUAUUUCCAGUUUCUUCUUUUAAUGGUUUCCAACGAAUGUUUGAUUACACCCUCUUGGAUGCGAACACCCGACUGCUUUGUGCACUUACGGCUCGCAAAGAUGAGAAGACGAGUCUCACUAACCUGCCUAUUGCAUAAGUAACAAUUAAUAUCAUCAACAUGGACAUUUGUGAACCAGCAUAUGUAAGUCAUGAUAACAUAACCAUGAAAUAACCUCUCAUUUAUAUCCAAUAAUGAUUUUAACUCUUGAUUAUAAGCCUACUACAAUUGACACUCUAUAGGAGCCCUAAAGUGGCACGUCAUGAUUUUUGAGACUAAAAUGACUAAACUAUGAACAUGAGCCUAAAGGGAUAAACUAUAAACAUGAGCCUAAAGGGAUAAACUAUAAACAUGAGCCUAAUGAGGGUAACACUUUGAUUAUAAAUAAUUAAGACAAUGUCAUGAGCCUAAGGGAGUUAGUUAGCUAACCGUGAAGGCAAAGGUUAAACGACAAAUGCCUAAAACUAUGUUUGCCGACAUAGGAUAGAGAUUAUUCCGCAAGUCAGAUAACUCUUUUUUUCAUGUGUCCCGAAAAUGGGCUAACCAUGGAUACUUGCUAGCAAAUUAUGCCAUGUCAUGUCCAAUACCCGGCAAGGUAUAGGAUGACUUAGCUGAUCAGACCGACAUCAGACUCCACUCACGUGGUGGUUUAUGAUGGUUCAUUACUUUCUCCCACAAAUAAUCAAAGGAAUUAAAUUUACCUAACUUUUCCAAUUAUGGAUUUAGUAUAUAUUCUUCCUCCUUUCUAGUUGUCUUCACUUAAAUUUGAAUAUUAUUGUCAUUUAUCAUCUCUUGUUAUACUAUCCUCAAAAAUGGUUUUACAUACCAAUACAUACCACGUAUUGACCGUCUUUGGCGCUACAUCGUUUCAUGAUAUAAGUUUGUGGUCAAGCACCUCAUUAGGAUCUCUAUCUUCUGUCAUUGGUGAGCCUCCUACCAGGAGGCUGGACGGGAUAUGAUGACUUCUUUAUAUUUUUUUUUCUUUUAGUAUUGGUACUUAUUAGAGGCUUCACAGGCUGGUAUAGUUGUCCAACAAACUUUAUAAUUUUCAAUCUUUAUUUACUAUAGCAAUUAGUAUUGUUGGACACUAUGCAGGGGCGGAGCUACCCUUUGCUGAGGGGGUUCAUCCGAACUCCCUUUGGCGAAAAAUUAUGCUAUAUAUGUAUGGUUAAAAUUAUUUUUUAUGUAUAUAUAUUAGAUGUUGAACCCCCUUCGGUUAGUUCAUAUGUUCACUUAUGAACCCCUUAGUAAAUAUCCUGGCUCCGCCACUGAUACUAUGCAGUGCUAAUAAACUUUGGUGAAGUUUUAUCCCUUGAGUAAAUUUUAAAUAAGUUUUAUAUUAUUUCUGCUUUAUUAAUUUGUAUUAGAAGUAUGCUCGAGUGAUAUGUCAGAACGUUUAGCUCGUACUAGCAAUAGUAUCGGGUGCGUGCCAUGUCUAGGGCCUAACUUGGGUGGUGACAUGUACUUCUUUCAAAGAAUAAAUAAAUAAAUGAACAGUAAAAGCCACUGAGAAUCGAUAUUAAGAUUGAUGAAAAAAUUCCAAGCUCACAGUGAGAAUACAAUGGUAGAUCCUUUCCUAUUGCAAUAACAAUACAGUCAAUUGGAUUGAAGGUUGGAGUGGUAGCAGAAGUGGAAAGGUAAAAAGCGGAAUAAAUAUUUCCACUAGAAGUAAAUCAAGAAAUUCCCUUAGUUGAGGAAAAUACAACUUAAGAUGACAUAAUUAACAACCUUUGAGAGAAUACAACAUGCAAACAUAUUUUCACAAUUAAUACAAGUUCUCAGAUUUUAAAAUAAUUCAUUUUUGCCACAAGAUGUUAGAAGAACCAGAUCUGACUUUACAACCUUUGAGAGAACACUAGCAACUUCUAUUAAUAGAGAAAGACCAGCCCAUAGACAAUCAUUGAUAACCAAAACAUCAUAAUGGUUACCUAAUCUGCUGCUUAGAUUUUGACAAAUAUGUGGCAGAUUAAUUUAUGCCAAAUUAGAAGGGUAAAGGAUAUUAAGCAGCAGUCAAGCUCUCUAACAAGAAUUGUUUUGGUUCCUAACUACCAAACUAGUUCUCAUUGUAAGACCAGCAUCUGUCUGUCCCUAACUUGCGAGAUAAAUGUAAGUGACGUGUAAAACAUUCCUUGGCACAAUCAACUAUUAGGUGCACAUUAAGCAUUUGGUAAAGCUUUAAGUAAAGCUGCCAAAUGAAACCUUUGAUUAACUUGGAUUAGCUUUAUAGCAAAGUUUCGACUUAGCAAUUACAGAUGCAUCAAAUGACAAACUCAAAUUAAACAAGAAAAACAAUCCAAGAAAGCUUGUAGUCUUAAGUAUGUUUUUUAAUCAAACAACAAUAAAAGAAGCAAUAUAGUGGUAUUACAACAUUAGAGGAUCAAAUGAAAGGUAAAAGAAACAAAAAGCAAGGAUUAUCAUGUAUAAAGUUCUGAUUUUUUUACUAUUUGCUAUUUUUCAAAAAUGAAGAAUUUCGUACAGACUAGAGGACUACUUAGCAGAAAAUAAGCAUGCUCAUCUACCAUCACCACUGAAAUAGUAAGGUUUUUCUCCUACAAGGUUUGAGUUCAUGACAUACCCCUGACCUGGGUGUCACCCAAUCAACUUCUUACACUAGAUGAAAGCCAUGGGGGAACUAAUUUGAUUAAUAAUUAUUAACAAACCAACGACUUACUAUGGUAAAGAUCCUACUACUUGUGAUGGAAAUUAUAUAACAACAAACGAUGAGAAAGUAAAAUCAAACAAAAGCAAGAGAUAUAAUAAGUUACAUCAUUACCUUGGUCGUUAGUAUGGUGAGGCAACAGAAGGCCUUUUCUAUUUCCUACAGAAUCUAUGUUAAUAAGUAAAGUCUCACGCUUAACAUAAAAAUUUCCUAAAACUUUCAUAAGGUGGUUCAUUCGUCAUUCCAGAAGACCAGAUACGUGUGGCAUAGACUAUCGAGACAGGUAAUGAUUCUACGAUACAAAAGCAGCAAUUAUUACAAUGUCACUGUAACCUCUGUAACCAAAUUUGAAAAAAACGUUGUAAAGUUAUAAUUUCAAAAUUUUACGGGAUAAAAUAUUGAAUUAAAAGACGAGACGUAUUAUCUGAGGAUUUUUCAACUGGAGAACAAAAUCUGUUCGUGUAUAUGUUAUGACUGCUAUUUUUGAAGGAGCAAUUGCCUCCUGAAUCCAUGAAACCAAAGGUACAAGUGUAUUGAUAAGACAUAAUUCAAGACUUAGUCUAUCAAAGUUUAAUUUCAUAAACAAAUACCCUUCAAUUCAAUUUUGGCAAAGUGAGAUAAGCUACAAGUCAAAAUUAAUCCUUUCUAGCUUUCCUGUAUAAUUAUCCUCUCCAGAAACAUCAAAAUUCAAUUCAAAAUGGUUUCACCCAACUUCAAAAAUGUACAACACUUCCGAUACACAAUGUUCCCAGAAAGCUUAUCUUUCUCAAUAAAAAUAGAUAUGCAAUAACAAAAGUUUGAGUAUUUUCUACCUAAUAAACUAAUAAAAUCUAUUCAAGCAAAACCCUUCUGUGUGAUGAAGCUUUAGAGAAAUUUCUAUAACUGAAACUGACUAGAACUGAAAUUAGUGCAAAAUUUCCAACUGAAACAUCAUAGAUUGUUCGUACAAAGAAGAAAUUAGGGCAAAAUUGUGAGCUAUAUUGAAAGAAGAAAUAUGUAGGCUAUGUUGAAUCGUUAGUUAUUCAACUAAUUGGAACCUGUCUUCAAGCUUCACAAUCUUUUUGGUACGGAGUUUGAUGUUACCUUCACCAUCAAUUAGGAUUUUAUUGGAUUAGAGUUUAGUAAAGAUAGACGAAAUAGGUACCUGACCUGAUCUUACGAGGGAUUUCGGUAAGGAGCUGCUUACAGGGAUUAGAGCUGAGUAUAUAUAUAUAUAUUUUUUAUUUUUGGUUAAAGAGCUGAGUAUAUUUGUGAAAUAAGAGCUGGGUAUAUCUGUUUUAUGGUCUCAUUUUUUUUAUUUAGCUAAUUAAAAAUUGGGGGGGGGGG
This 4273-nucleotide long non-coding RNA is filed under the name Capsicum annuum. Its description in RNAcentral is "long non-coding RNA (CANN_LNC007778)". The record is from RNAcentral. Lineage: Eukaryota; Viridiplantae; Streptophyta; Magnoliopsida; Solanales; Solanaceae.